GACGAACGCUGGCGGCGUGCUUAACACAUGCAAGUCGAACGGAAAGGCCCUGCUUCUGUGGGGUGCUCGAGUGGCGAACGGGUGAGUAACACGUGAGUAACCUGCCCUUGACUUUGGGAUAACUUCAGGAAACUGGGGCUAAUACCGGAUAGGAGCUCCUGCUGCAUGGUGGGGGUUGGAAAGUUUCGGCGGUUGGGGAUGGACUCGCGGCUUAUCAGCUUGUUGGUGGGGUAGUGGCUUACCAGGGCUUUGACGGGUAGCCGGCCUGAGAGGGUGACCGGCCACAUUGGGACUGAGAUACGGCCCAGACUCCUACGGGAGGCAGCAGUGGGGAAUAUUGCACAAUGGGCGGAAGCCUGAUGCAGCAACGCCGCGUGCGGGAUGACGGCCUUCGGGUUGUAAACCGCUUUCGCCUGUGACGAAGCGUGAGUGACGGUAAUGGGUAAAGAAGCACCGGCUAACUACGUG
RNAcentral lists this ribosomal RNA (468 nucleotides) under uncultured bacterium. RNAcentral describes it as "partial 16S ribosomal RNA". It matches the Rfam family "Bacterial small subunit ribosomal RNA", at positions 28 to 507 of the family's 1533-position model. The record is from RNAcentral.